Musca domestica (house fly) is the source of this 1465-nucleotide long non-coding RNA. RefSeq lists it as uncharacterized. The transcript is spliced from 3 exons. The record is from RefSeq and is a predicted model, not a curated record. NCBI's taxonomy places the organism in Eukaryota, Metazoa, Arthropoda, Insecta, Diptera, Muscidae.
AGUUCAAAUCAAGGAUCAAUGUUUUUUCCUGGCUAAAUAAUUUUUUGGAGAUUUAAGGUGAAAAAUCCUACCAGUUUUAUUGCUCUACGCUUGCAUUGGAUUGUGGUAAAAGACUGCUGGUCUUUUGUUUCUGGCUUCAUUACUGUCAACAUAUAUGUAUACCUUGUCUAAAUUUUGCAUGCACGUGGUUUUUGAAUGGGUCCUACAUCGUUCUUCAACUGGAAGAUGCGAACACAUUCAAACAAAUAAAAAUGGCCAACACAGCUGCAUUGGGUUCAUAUCAAAACGCCAACCUAUAAUCCGUGCAAUGAGAACUAAAAAUGCAAAAUUCAUUGGGACUGCAAUCAGUGAAAUACCGAAGAUAAAGAGACACAACAAUAUGCGGUCUAUACGAAAUGGUAGAGUGAAUUUAAAAUUUAGUAAAAAAAGGAUUCAUAUCCUCCGAAAAAUCAUCUGAAAUGUUUCAUAUACAUACUUAAAUCACAGGUAUCGUUUUAUGCAAUAGCGAGUAACAACAUUGCGCAACAGCCAAUCUGGGGGUUGGAAAGUUCUAAGUGGAUAAUAUACGGUUAGUAGAUCAACAUCUCAAAAAGGGUUUUGGGUUACCAAGCUAAUUUUUUUAGAGUCCAUUAUAUAUAGCCUUAACCAUACACAAAGGUUCUAAAAUAUUUUGCUCUACACUUCGCAAAAUUUACGAUAGAGUUUUAAAUUUGAUACAAUACAAUGGGUUACAUUUAGUUCUACAAAAUGUGGGCCACUUAUUUCGACAAAUAUUCGUAACUUGAGUAUUUAGAAAGAAGAAAAUAUACUUUCAAUUUUAUAAAAAUAUAAAAAAGUAUGCCUUGUGUGUAAUUUCACUGAAAAGUUAUAAUAUUUGUUGGCAAUUUAACAAUGUGUAAUACAAAAUAUUUAAUGAGUUCCAGUAAUUUAUAGAUACAAGUACAUAAAAAAAUAAUAAUUUAUAAAAACGACAAUAAAAUUAUUAAUUUACAAAUCUUAAUGACUAAUGUAUCAAACGCGAUUUAUUAUUAAGGCUCAGUUUAUCUAAGGCGACACUAAAACUAAUUCUAAAUGAUAAACCAAUUUCUUGCUUUUUAUACCCUCCACCAUAGUAUGGAGCGUAUAUUAAGUUUGUCAUUCCGUUUGUAGCACCUCGAAAUAUACAUUUUCGACCCCACAAAGUAUAUAUAUUCCUGAUCAGCAUAAAAUUCUAUGUUUCGUUGCAGAAAUAUCCAUUCAUAAUCUUGGAUGGUUGCUUAUUUGCACCUAAAUUGUAAGUCAGAAAAAAUGUUUAAAUAAAUAUUACACCAAUUUUACAUAUUUUUUUUUUCUUUACCAGUAUGUUUUUUUUUUUUUUGAGCGGCACCAAUCUCUGUAGCCCUGUAGAAAGAAAUUAAAAAUAAAAGAGACAUAUUUAAUAAGGAAUAAAGGAAUAAAUUGUUAUUUGUUUACAAAAAUUGCCAAA